GGGGGCGUGUUGUGGUCUGUCAGCUUUGGGAAGGAAGAGAAUUCCAGACUAGGAGAACAAUGUAAGAGGAAAGAUGAUGGAGGGAGAUGUGCGAAUGGGACUUGAAGAGACACAGAUCCACUGAGAGAAGAAAACAGCACUGGACCAGGGUCUUCUGCCUGACAAACUACCUAAGGACUCCAUACAGUACUUGUGAAUCCAAGAGUGAGGUGCUUUGCAGAAUGUUGCGUUAGAAGAGAGAAUAAUCUGCUCCCAAAAGAUUCUGUGCUGCAAAUAUUGAUUUGGCUUUGUGACUCAUCACAUUUGGAAUGUGCUGGAUGCAGGAGAGGGAGCUCUGCACAAUGAGUUUUCCCAGAACUGACCAAAUAUUCCAGGACAGUACUAGAUUUUGAAGCUGAUUUGUCUAUCUUGCACCAAUGUCUCAGCUGUUCUUGCUCUCUUUAAAUGCUUGGACUUUCAUCUCUGUUUUGAAACAUGUUUAGAAAAGGUUCCCUUAGGUCCCAGAACAGUCUGGUAAUUAUAGUGUGGAUGGCUCAGAAUGCUGGAGAACUUUAGCCUUUUAUAGAUCCCUCCUCCCUUACCCUAACCCUAAUUCUGGGGGAAGACAUUGAAGAAAGUCUGGUGUCUUCAUGUCCUGAUUUGCAACAAAAUUAUAUUCAGUCUAGUUUUCUCCUCUCCAAAGCUAAGCUUUGCCCUCCAAGAUCCAAAAUGGGAAAAAAAUUAUCACCAAGCUCCAUUCAUUCCCUCUACAUUUUUCAGUUUAUCAUAUUUCAGUACAGUAAUACAAGUUGGUACUCCGCCUCUGGUGACUCACCUGGCUUUUUCCCCAGGUAGACUUUUCUUUGAUGAAAGGUGGAAUUAUCUUCCUCUAUUAAUUCGCUCAGCAAGACAGCUUGUUCUACUGAAUUUCUCCAAAGGAUAGGAUAUUUGUAUGGAUGACUGUAUGAAUUCCAGUCUUGCACAAGUGAGUUCUACAAAUUCAUUUCACUUAAAACCAGGAUGAGUUCAGUAUCAUUUUCAGCCAAUCGGGGCAGGGUCAGGGGUUGAAUUCUUUCACUGCUGUUAUUGGUCAUAUUAAACUCUGAAGAGUGGUUUUAUACUGUGUAUUACUUUUUCACUAGAGACUAAACCACAUUGCAAACUGCCGAAAAUGCUCCACAUUCACAUCCAACAUCAUAAUGCCAGUUAAUGUGGCCAUGUGAAGUUUUGAUUUCAAGAUCCCUAAGGAUUUCAGCUCAAAGACUUCAUAUUAUCUGAAAGUUAAAGCCAAAUGUACCCCACAAAUUCAGAGACUCAGUCAUUCAAGUUAAUUAUUGCUAACCACUAGCUGGCUGCCUCACCCUGUAUACUGUCUCACCCCCCAGCUGGGCAUGGUCAAAGCAACCACAAUACGGGCUCCACCAUGGAGUCCCACACCCAUCUACCACCCGCUAGUCUCAAACUAUGAGCAGCCAUGAGAAAAGCUGCCAAAAAGAACUUUCCUAAGUCACAAAGAACUGGGAUGAUUUUUUUUGUUAUUGUUGUUGUUGCUUUCACCAGUUUUUGUUUGCUUUUUUGGCUAACUCAGCUUUCUCUGUUAGAGAAGCAUUCCAAAAAUUAGAUGGCAUUACAGUUGAGUCUUCUCUUUUUCUGUGGGCAUUCUGAAUAGCUGGAAUCUUAAAUAGCAACUGUGGCUAUAAACAGUAGGUUUUUAAAGAUCCGCACAAAACUUUCAGCGGCCCUUGGCCACUCCGCCUAAAAUCUGUUUUGAUUUAACCCAGUUAUGGGGGCACUGAUAGAAAAGAAGAGAUUUUUAAAACCCAGAAAACCUCUUCCAUAAAUUGUAACAGCCCUGUGCAAUGUGGUUUCUGCUCUAUAUACAGUAGAGGAAAAAAAAAGCCUCAUUUGACUCUGAACUAAAUGGCAUGCUUAUAUUCUUUUCCAAAAAAGAAGCUUUAUAAUGAACAUGCAAUUUGAGAUCUAUUGGUAUAAAAUAAGGAAAGAUGAACUACAACUAGAAAACAAGGAAGGAGGCUGGUAAAUGAGACUGUGUGUUACCCAUUAAGGAACUUGAAUGUUUCAGGAAUGAAUCAUGAAUUAGCUAUGUUAAUAAAACAAAUAGCUGAA
Long non-coding RNA from Ornithorhynchus anatinus (platypus), 2106 nucleotides. RefSeq lists it as uncharacterized. The transcript is spliced from 4 exons. The record is from RefSeq and is a predicted model, not a curated record. Lineage: Eukaryota; Metazoa; Chordata; Mammalia; Monotremata; Ornithorhynchidae.